AUACUUACCUGGCAGGGGAGAUACCAUGAUCAAGAAGGUGGUUCACCCAUGGCGAGGCCUGGCCAUUGCACUCCGGUGGGGCUGACCUAUGCGAAUUCCCCAAAUGUGGGAAAUCUCGACUGCAUAAUUUGUGGUAGUUGGGGACUGCGUUCGCGCUCUCCCUGA
Molecule: small nuclear RNA, 165 nt
Organism: Labrus bergylta (ballan wrasse)
Lineage: Eukaryota; Metazoa; Chordata; Actinopteri; Labriformes; Labridae
Gene: U1
Rfam family: U1 spliceosomal RNA
About the family: U1 is a small nuclear RNA (snRNA) component of the spliceosome (involved in pre-mRNA splicing).
Source: Ensembl